GGAGCCGUGCCUGAAUGUCCAAGGACCACUUUGAUAGAGUGAUCUAUGGAGGCUAAAAUCCUCCCGACUCCU
This 72-nucleotide transfer RNA is filed under the name Pareuchiloglanis anteanalis. RNAcentral describes it as "tRNA-Ile". RNAcentral also lists the same sequence under 2 other names. The record is from RNAcentral. Lineage: Eukaryota; Metazoa; Chordata; Actinopteri; Siluriformes; Sisoridae.